GGGUUGUGAGGUUAAGCGACUAAGCGUACACGGUGGAUGCCCUGGCAGUCAGAGGCGAUGAAGGACGUGCUAAUCUGCGAUAAGCGCCGGUAAGGUGAUAUGAACCGUUAUAACCGGCGAUUUCCGAAUGGGGAAACCCAGUGUGAUUCGUCACACUAUCAUUAACUGAAUCCAUAGGUUAAUGAGGCGAACCGGGGGAACUGAAACAUCUAAGUACCCCGAGGAAAAGAAAUCAACCGAGAUUCCCCCAGUAGCGGCGAGCGAACGGGGAGGAGCCCAGAGCCUGAAUCAGCAUGUGUGUUAGUGGAAGCGUCUGGAAAGACGCGCGAUACAGGGUGACAGCCCCGUACACAAAAGCGCAUGUGCUGUGAGCUCGAUGAGUAGGGCGGGACACGUGGUAUCCUGUCUGAAUAUGGGGGGACCAUCCUCCAAGGCUAAAUACUCCUGACUGACCGAUAGUGAACCAGUACCGUGAGGGAAAGGCGAAAAGAACCCCGGCGAGGGGAGUGAAAAAGAACCUGAAACCGUGUACGUACAAGCAGUGGGAGCCCCACCACUAAGCCAGUGGUGAACUCCACAUACGCAUCCUUUGCUGAGGAUACGGUUAACGGAGCGAAAGCGACGUUCAACCUCAAAAGAAGCAGAGGGGGCUUAGUGGUGGGGUGACUGCGUACCUUUUGUAUAAUGGGUCAGCGACUUAUAUUCUGUAGCAAGGUUAACCGAAUAGGGGAGCCGGAGGGAAACCGAGUCUUAACCGGGCGUUAAGUUGCAGGGUAUAGACCCGAAACCCGGUGAUCUAGCCAUGGGCAGGUUGAAGGUUGGGUAACACUAACUGGAGGACCGAACCGACUAAUGUUGAAAAAUUAGCGGAUGACCUGUGGCUGGGGGUGAAAGGCCAAUCAAACCGGGAGAUAGCUGGUUCUCCCCGAAAGCUAUUUAGGUAGCGCCUCGUGAACUCAUCUCCGGGGGUAGAGCACUGUUUCGGCUAGGGGGCCAUCCCGGCUUACCAACCCGAUGCAAACUGCGAAUACCGGAGAAUGUUAUCACGGGAGACACACGGCGGGUGCUAACGUCCGUCGUGAAGAGGGAAACAACCCAGACCGCCAGCUAAGGUCCCAAAGUCAUGGUUAAGUGGGAAACGAUGUGGGAAGGCCCAGACAGCCAGGAUGUUGGCUUAGAAGCAGCCAUCAUUUAAAGAAAGCGUAAUAGCUCACUGGUCGAGUCGGCCUGCGCGGAAGAUGUAACGGGGCUAAACCAUGCACCGAAGCUGCGGCAGCGAACGUAUCACCCAAGACAACUUUACGGAGUUGACGAUUGACGGAGCGAAGCGACGUCAAAGCGUUCAUUAAAGUCGAGUUGGCUUAGGGAUACGUUCGUUGGGUAGGGGAGCGUUCUGUAAGCCUGUGAAGGUGGCCUGUGAGGGUUGCUGGAGGUAUCAGAAGUGCGAAUGCUGACAUAAGUAACGAUAAUGCGGGUGAAAAACCCGCACGCCGGAAGACCAAGGGUUCCUGUCCAACGUUAAUCGGGGCAGGGUGAGUCGACCCCUAAGGCGAGGCCGAAAGGCGUAGUCGAUGGGAAACAGGUUAAUAUUCCUGUACUUGGUGUUACUGCGAAGGGGGGACGGAGAAGGCUAUGUUAGCCGGGCGACGGUUGUCCCGGUUUAAGCAUGUAGGCGGAGGUUCCAGGUAAAUCCGGUACCUUAUUAACGCUGAGGUGUGAUGACGAGGCACUACGGUGCUGAAGUAACAAAUGCCCUGCUUCCAGGAAAAGCCUCUAAGCAUCAGGUAACAUCAAAUCGUACCCCAAACCGACACAGGUGGUCAGGUAGAGAAUACCAAGGCGCUUGA
This 1847-nucleotide ribosomal RNA is filed under the name Salmonella enterica subsp. enterica serovar Livingstone. RNAcentral's name for it is "partial 23S ribosomal RNA". It matches the Rfam family "Bacterial large subunit ribosomal RNA", at positions 1 to 1693 of the family's 2925-position model. The record is from RNAcentral. Lineage: Bacteria; Pseudomonadati; Pseudomonadota; Gammaproteobacteria; Enterobacterales; Enterobacteriaceae.